This 689-nucleotide ribosomal RNA is filed under the name Salmonella enterica subsp. enterica serovar Infantis. Its description in RNAcentral is "partial 23S ribosomal RNA". It matches the Rfam family "Bacterial large subunit ribosomal RNA", at positions 685 to 1301 of the family's 2925-position model. The record is from RNAcentral. Lineage: Bacteria; Pseudomonadati; Pseudomonadota; Gammaproteobacteria; Enterobacterales; Enterobacteriaceae.
UUAAGGGGCGUUAAGUUGCAGGGUAUAGACCCGAAACCCGGUGAUCUAGCCAUGGGCAGGUUGAAGGUUGGGUAACACUAACUGGAGGACCGAACCGACUAAUGUUGAAAAAUUAGCGGAUGACCUGUGGCUGGGGGUGAAAGGCCAAUCAAACCGGGAGAUAGCUGGUUCUCCCCGAAAGCUAUUUAGGUAGCGCCUCGUGAAUUCAUCUCCGGGGGUAGAGCACUGUUUCGGCUAGGGGGCCAUCCCGGCUUACCAACCCGAUGCAAACUGCGAAUACCGGAGAAUGUUAUCACGGGAGACACACGGCGGGUGCUAACGUCCGUCGUGAAGAGGGAAACAACCCAGACCGCCAGCUAAGGUCCCAAAGUCAUGGUUAAGUGGGAAACGAUGUGGGAAGGCCCAGACAGCCAGGAUGUUGGCUUAGAAGCAGCCAUCAUUUAAAGAAAGCGUAAUAGCUCACUGGUCGAGUCGGCCUGCGCGGAAGAUGUAACGGGGCUAAACCAUGCACCGAAGCUGCGGCAGCGAAAAAGGCGCCGAAAGGCGUAGUCGAUGGGAAACGGGUUAAUAUUCCCGUACUUGGUGUUACUGCGAAGGGGGGACGGAGAAGGCUAUGUUGGCCGGGCGACGGUUGUCCCGGUUUAAGCGUGUAGGUGUGUGUUCCAGGUAAAUCCGGUUCACUUUAACAC